GCUUUCAACAUCCCCGUCCAGAUUGGGCACGUCCCGAACCGGACUGAAGGC
The submitters of this non-coding RNA (51 nucleotides) gave its source as unclassified sequences. The record is from Rfam.